RNAcentral lists this unclassified non-coding RNA (163 nucleotides) under Aliivibrio wodanis. Lineage: Bacteria; Pseudomonadati; Pseudomonadota; Gammaproteobacteria; Vibrionales; Vibrionaceae. The record is from RNAcentral.
GAGGUAAAGAUGUUCUAUCUUUCAGACCUUUUGUUUCACGUUAUUGGAUUUGGCUAAAUUCAGCCGCCUCAGUCAACCUUUUUGACUGGGGCGUUUUUUCUUUCUGGCCUUUUAAAAACUUAAUUCUCCGAUUUUUUCCGCAUUUUUUAUUUCUUCUUAUUUU